This 463-nucleotide ribosomal RNA is filed under the name Starmerella lactis-condensi. RNAcentral describes it as "partial large subunit ribosomal RNA". It matches the Rfam family "Eukaryotic large subunit ribosomal RNA", at positions 52 to 526 of the family's 3401-position model. Lineage: Eukaryota; Fungi; Ascomycota; Dipodascomycetes; Dipodascales; Trichomonascaceae. The record is from RNAcentral.
GGAGGAAAAGAAACCAACAGGGAUUGCUCUAGUAACGGCGAGUGAACAAGCAAAAGCUCAGUUUUGAAAGCCUACUUUGUAGGCAUUGUAUUCUGAAGCCUAGAUUCUGGGAAACGGUGUUUAAGUCUUCUGGAAAGGAGCGCCACGGAGGGUGAUAGCCCCGUACGGCACUGACCCCAUUGUAGUUUCUAGGCGUGGAGUCGAGUUGUUUGGGAAUGCAGCUCAAAUGGGAGGUAUGCUCCUUCUAAAGCUAAAUAUUUGCGAGAGACCGAUAGCGAACAAGUACUGUGAAGGAAAGAUGAAAAGAACUUUGAAAAGAGAGUGAAAUAGGACGUGAAAUUGUUGAAAUGGAAGGGUAGGCUGCUAACCAUGUAGGACCGUGUCUGAGGGGAAGAUAAAAGCUACGGAAUGUGACUCUUCGGAGUGUUAUAGCCGUGGUCAAUGUUCCCACUUAGGCGCGAGG